This 429-nucleotide ribosomal RNA is filed under the name Pseudomonadota bacterium. RNAcentral's name for it is "Proteobacteria bacterium partial 16S ribosomal RNA". It matches the Rfam family "Bacterial small subunit ribosomal RNA", at positions 355 to 776 of the family's 1533-position model. Lineage: Bacteria; Pseudomonadati; Pseudomonadota. The record is from RNAcentral.
UGGGGAAUAUUGGACAAUGGGCGAAAGCCUGAUCCAGCCAUGCCGCGUGUGUGAAGAAGGUCUUCGGAUUGUAAAGCACUUUAAGUUGGGAGGAAGGGCAGUAAGCGAAUACCUUGCUGUUUUGACGUUACCGACAGAAUAGGCACCGGCUAACUCUGUGCCAGCAGCCGCGGUAAUACAGAGGGUGCAAGCGUUAAUCGGAAUUACUGGGCGUAAAGCGCGCGUAGGUGGUUCGUUAAGUUGAAUGUGAAAGCCCCGGGCUCAACCUGGGAACUGCAUCCAAAACUGGCGAGCUAGAGUAGGGCAGAGGGUGGUGGAAUUUCCUGUGUAGCGGUGAAAUGCGUAGAUAUAGGAAGGAACACCAGUGGCGAACGCGACCACCUGGGCUCAUACUGACACUGAGGUGCGAAAGCGUGAGGAGCAAACAGG